Molecule: long non-coding RNA, 265 nt
Filed under: Brassica napus (rape)
Lineage: Eukaryota; Viridiplantae; Streptophyta; Magnoliopsida; Brassicales; Brassicaceae
Description: long non-coding RNA (BNAP_LNC024730)
Source: RNAcentral
UGCUGGUUCAUUAUUUUAACGAAUAUUUAUAUACAUUUAUAUAAGAAAGAAAAAAAGUUUUUUUUGUUCAAGGUUAUAUGGUCGACAGACUUGGUCUUUUAUCGUUUUGUGCUGUCCAGUUUCCUACUUUUUAAUUUUUAUAGAUAGUCGUUUUGCCUUUGUGAUUCGUAAAAGAAGUCAACCUUUGUUGUGGUGUCCUCCUAUUUUGUAUAGACUCUAGAGGUUACUUCAAUAGUAUUUGUUUUCUCUGCACAAUCCAAUGUCU